RNAcentral lists this long non-coding RNA (31642 nucleotides) under Sorghum bicolor (sorghum). RNAcentral's name for it is "long non-coding RNA (SBIC_LNC006001)". The record is from RNAcentral. Lineage: Eukaryota; Viridiplantae; Streptophyta; Magnoliopsida; Poales; Poaceae.
GCUAGAAAGAUGUUUUAUUCCUAUAAAAGUCUCCAGCAAAAUCAAUCAAACUGAUUCGCGGUUGGACCUAGUAGCUACAUAAUGCAGGUAGGAAUUUAUUGAUUUUUCCCUAAUCCUAUAGAAAUUAAAAUCUUGUUUGGAUGUUGUAUGAUUUAACUCAAAUCACAAAUGUUGGAGUGGAUUAUGGUAUAAUUUAAUUCAAAUUUUACUCUAAUCCACCCUAAUACAUAUGGAUUGGUACGAAUCCAACUCCAUCCAAAUAAGGUAUAAAAGGUUUUAAAUUACAUGUGUAGAAUUCAAUUCAUGCAUUCCUUUGAUUCUGGCACCAUAGGUUCUUAGGUACUAUGGUGCUUGACCCACAUUUAUAUAAUACAUUAUUAUAUCCCUAACGAGUGAAUUGUAUAUACUAGCUAAGUGUUUAUUUGUUUCGCUAUAUAAAUUAGAGUGGAUUGAAGUACAACCAAACAAGCUUUAAUAUAGCUCUAUAACUUUUUUUGGACAUAAAAUUUGUAACUUCAUGUUACAACUAUAUUAAAGUGGGCAACGGAUCUAGUGCAAACUCAUCUCCUGUGCAAACUAUGCAAACUCUAAUCUGGACCGCAGGAUGUUAAUCCAAGGGGGCACAUGAGAGAGGUGGAAGGAGAGAUUUGUAAAAGUGUGAUUAAGAGCGGGCGGUUAAGUGCAAAAUGACCCAAUCUCUCCGCACCCUUGGAUCAACAUCCUGCCGUCCAGAUUAGAGUUUGCACAGUUUGCACGUGAGAUGAGUUUGCACUAGAUCCGUUGCCAUUAAAGUGUGUUUGCCCUCCAAUCCACUUUUGGAAGAAAGUAGAGCUUUUGACUAAUCCUAUAUAUGUAUAUACAGGCUCGCAAAAAGGGAUAGAAAAAAAAUAUUCCUUAUCAUCGUUAGAGUAACCACAAUGUGUUUAAAAAAAUAUUCCUAGCAUCGUGUGAGUAGUCCAUAAUAAGGCAAUAACAAAAAUCACACGUAGCCUAGCUAGAAGCAGUAAACUAUUCUUUCUUUCUCUUUCUUUUCUCUCCCGCAGUCUGAUUCUCGGAGCUGUUGGAGGGCAUAGUUUUAUUUUUUUUUUUGUUGUAAGAGCAUCUCCAAGAGUCUUUUUAUAUUCUUCCUAAAUGUUUGGAAUAGAGAUUUUUGAAAAAUUACUCUUCAACAGUUUAUCUAAAUGGUCAUUCAAAUAUAGACAUCUUCUAUUUCGAUUUUUUUGCUAGCUAAAUAUAGAAGACGAGAAUGGAUCUUUAGAGUGCGUAUGAGAAAUAAAAUAACUGUUGGAGAGUGAAAAGUUAUAGAAAGUGAUUUUUAUGUAAAUGGCUCUCUAAAUGAUGAUUUGGAAAGUGAAAUUUAGAAAAACUCUUUGGAGAUGCUUAAGCUGAACAUUGUGAGAUUUGCUAUAACUACUGUCCGUUGUUGUGGGGCCCAACUAUAUGGACUAGGUGAUCUAAAAUCUAAAUACAUUGCCGAUACAUGCACGUUUGGAAGGUCUAUAUAAUUAGUAUAUUAUGUGACCAGUAAUAUGCUUUCCCGUAGUGUCUGCUUGUAUCUACUCUACAUAUAUCAUCAAAAGCUCUACUUUCUUGUUCCAACAGGUUCCAAGUAGUGUUCGGAUUUCUUUAAUUUUCAGCAUCAUUGAUGGUUUUAUUUAGGGCCGGCCGGCCGGCCGCGGCCGGUGAAGGUGCAACGCGGUAGACCAUCUCAUACAAAUAAGAUGCAUCAAUUGAGGUCAACGACGGCUCCAGCACAUCAUUUGCACGUUGCUGCAUGGCAACGUACGUGGUGGCUAGCUGGAUGCAUUAUUGCCCUUGAUUGCCCGGCAAGUUCGUAACAUGACAGUUGUAGGCAUGCAUCCAGCAGUACAUGCAUACUGGGCAGAGAAUUAGGCCUUGUUUAGUUUCUAAAAAUUUUCAGAAUUCUUCGUCACAUUAAAUCUUACGGCACAUGUAUAAUGCAUUAUAUAUAUAUAUAUAUAAAAAUAAAAACUAAUUGCACAGUUUGACGGUAAAUCACGAGACGAAUCUUUUAAGACUAGUUACUCCAUGAUUAGACAAUAUUUAUCAAAUAAAAAUGAAAAUGCUACAGUAUCGAAAUCCAAAAUUUUUUGAAAACUGAACAAGGCCUUAAUAAAAAGGCCAACACUGUUAGUGUUGAUAGGUGUCGGGAAUUUACUUAUAACGACAAUCUCCUACAACUAAAAAGAAUAAAGUGUGGACAUUUUUUGGUGCAACUUUUGGUUUGGUUCAUCCGUCUGCCUCCUGCGAUCCCCGUAGGCCUCGCUCAACCCCGCCUCACCCCGCUCGACAAAAUACGAAAGCUCCGCGUGAUUAGCUCCCCGUGCGAUAUCCUCUCCCCUGCAAAUGGAAACAAUCACCGCAGUUAAUCUCUAACGUCAACAAUUUUUCAUGCCAUAACAUUUUGGGACUGUCGUCUUUCUUUGUCUUGCGAUCUAGCAACAUCCUCCAGUGUCGACCCUCCGCAAUCUCCCGCAAUCAACGAUGAGCCAACCAAUUAAUCUAGCAGGAAAACACUAUUGUGCGACAUACCAAGAAGGAAACCAAUCACGCACCGCGCCACAAUCGUGCAUGUAUGCAUGAAAUCAAGAAGGAAACCACUAUCAACCACGCAAGGAUUAAAUCACACAAUCACCUCACCCUCAUGCGCAGCCAUCGCCACUUGCCCCUUGUGCGCUGCCCUGAGCCGGAUGGGAGAGGAGGACGCGCGUUGUGACGCCAUGUGAUCGUCCGGUGCAGCCUCGUCCGACGACGAGGUCGUCCUCGAGGCUCGAGCAGGCGAUGGCGGAGUCGUGGUGCCCGCAGGCACAUCAGUGCCCGCCGCCGUCUUCACUCGACCUCGACAACGAUAUCUGCUUUGCGAAUCACGUUACUCGUCUCUGCCAUUUCGCUUUGCCAAGGUAGAGACCACAGCAUCCCUUGCGGCUAGAGGUCGGCUCCUGCAUGCUGUAUGUAGUGCAGUUCAUAGGACAAAUAAACCUAUUAUUGCCAUGUGAUUAGCUGUUUCUUAGAGCAGUGAAGUGUCGGGAACCUAUAUCAUGCUGAAUGCUCACACUGGACAUCGUGUUCAUAUAUCAUGAUGUUCAGUCAUUCAGAAUUUGGAUUCGUCGAGUCAAACAGACAGAUUGUGAAGUUCCAAUAGAGUUUCGUCCUGCAGUCACUCAGCACUUUGCAAGUUUAGGUGAUGCCCAAUCUUGUUCUCUGUCCGACAAAUUCAGAUUUUUAGCUUUAGUCUUUGCAGUUUUUGCCUGCCUUAGUUUUGCAGUUUUUGCCUGCCACUAUUUCUGUCCAACAAAUACAGGUUGCGGUUUUUUUGAAGUCCACAAAAUAUGUAGGACAAGAGGAGCUAGCCUUACAUCUGAAGAGGAGCUUGGUAAUGGUAAAGGGAAGGCUUUAGUUCUAGCAAUUCUUGACUAUUAUAUCAGCAUGUGCAUAGUGAUAUUUUCAUCUUUGCAACUCUAAGAAAUAUGCACAAUGCUUUGAUAAGUUCCAUAUGUCCUUUGUAUUUGUUGGAUUAUUCAUUUAAUAUGUAGUUUUUGGUAAAAGCAAUUUUUUAUCUGGAGAUGAUUCUUGAGGAGCUGCAAAAGUACGUGUUUCAUAUCCUUGAUGCAAAUGCAAGAUGGGAUUUGUUGCGAUCCAAAUGUAAGAGCCAAUGUCUAUUUGCUUUCCAAUUUGCUUCAAAGUACAUUACUAUGAAUCAUCUAGAAUAAUCAUGAGGUUUCCUAUUUUUUCUCCGAUGUUUGCAGAUGCAUGGGACUGAGUGGUGGGUCGAAGCAAACCUAUUUAUUAGCUAUGUCAUUAUCUUAUCUACGUCCUUAAUUAUAUCUGAUUUUGCAUGAGAUGGCCAAAGAAUGCAAAUGAUUUGGUUAUUUUAGCUAUUGGCUUAUCAUGGAAAUUUUAAGAUAAUUUCAAUCUACAGGAUUACAACACUAUCUUAAGUGUAUACAGACCAAAUAAUCGUAAGGAAUAUCUGAAUACAACUGAUAUGAACUAGAUUAUUGUUUUGAUUUCUUGUCAAGGUCAAGUAUUGCUUGGUGUGUUUCAGAUCGAAGGUUCAUUAUUUGCAAUGCCUACCAUGUUCUCGAUAAUAUUGCCUAUUAAUACUUUUUUCAUGAUAAUCAAAACUAUCUUUAUUAAACAUUAAUGUUAUCCUACCGUGCGAUCCGUGUAUUUUUUAUACAAAAGUUUUAUUGUCCCGUAGCAACGCACGGGCAUACUACCUAGUACUAGUAGAAAGCUAGAGGACACCUGUCGAAUUGUCGAUGUUUGGACUCGCGGCCCAAACAUUAACUACAUACUCUAAAUUUGGAUGAUGAUAUAGGAAGAACACAAGAGAUUUAUACUGGUUCAGACGAAAAAUACCCUACAUCUAGUGUGAGGAGGAGAUUUGUAUUAUCCUACACGAAGUGCUUGUAGUAGGGGUUACAAGCGGGAUGCGAGAGAGGGAAUGAGUCCCAAGUCUUGUCUCUAAGUGAGUCGUGUGUGUAUGUGUGUGUUCGCAUUGUAGUGUGUACUGAGUUGCAGUGACUUAGCGUAUGUGACUUAGCCCGUGUCUCUUGAAUGGGACCCUGUCCCUCCUUUUAUAGUCUCAAGGGAAAGUAGGCAAUACAUGUGUACGUGUCGUGGUAUUACGGUCUUAGCACUAGGCGUGGGACGAAGCAUGGCGUCGUAUAGUGACGGUGGAGCUCUCCAUUCCUUGCGUUGUAGCUGGUCAUGGCCGUUGUAUGGGUGUGCUCUCUCCUACUGUGUUCGUGUCGAGCCACACCGACAUUGUAGAUGAGAUGUCCGUACCUGUAGUAGCCAUGCCGACCCCUGUUCCUCAUCCUGUGUUGACCUCCAGAGGCCUCUUCUCUGUGGUUCGUACCCUGGAGUUCUGACGGGCUCAUGGCUACAGGAGCCGGAUUUGACAUUCCCCGUCAUCCAUGGGCUUGGUUGUACGCACAAUGACGGUAGCAGAUGUUACAGUGACGGGGGCACAGUAUCUAGCAUGCUCUGCUCUGCAUGGUGUGGGUGUGGGCGUACAGAUGUGCCCCGCAUCCCAUCUAUGGUGUUGUGGCCUUGCCGUCGCGGGAAAGCCUCGAGCGCUCCAUCGGGAACAAGGCGCCCGAGCUUGGGGCUCCGACGAGGCGGAGAUUAUUUGGUCUCGUCCGAGGCCCGGUUAGGUCUCGGGUGAGAUAGAACUUGCCUCGUUUCAUCCAAGGCUUAGUUGGGUCUCGGGCGAGACGGAUUUAGUAGGCCCAGUUGUCUUUCUUGCGAGCGACUGCUUGACCCUUCUAACCUAUUGUUAUUUUGUUUUAAAAAGAGAAAACAUGGUCUUGAGCUUUGUGCUUUGGGUACGGGUUAUGGUACCCGACAAUACCUUUAUUCCAAUAAUGUUCCUUUUUAUUACUGAUCUCACAUUAUUGUUUAGCUUUCGCUUGUCAUGGUCAAAAUUUUCCUGGUCUAGAAGUUCUAAGGGGGUGUGUUUUUUCAAAGGAAAUUUUCAGUUGAAUUUAUUAGAUACUGUUUGAGAAUCUUUUUUUUUCUAGAAAAUGAAACUGCCUUUGCACACUACUACAAAAAAUAUUUACCGCGACCUUUUCAAAACUCUCUCCAAGACGGGCAGGAAUGUAAACCGCCUCGGUUAAUGCCUAGGCGGUCGCUUUUUAUUAACCGAGACGGUUAAAAGAAACCGCCUCGCAAAAUCUAUUUACGAAGGCGGUUUUUAUAAAAGAGCCCGCCUCCAGAAUUAGCCCUAUUAACCGAGGCGGGCAGGUUAUAACGCCCGUUUCGGUUAAUAUUUUCGAGGCCCAAUAGAUCCAGGCGAGGCCCAAUAACUCUUCACAGUAUAUAUAUGCCAAACCCUAGCACUCACUCACUCCCACUCCCUCACCAGCCACACUCACCACCACACUCCCUCUCUCUCUAUCUCACUCGGGAGUUCAGGACGCCGGCCUCCCUCCCCUCCUCUCCCUUCCUCUCUCUCUUCUCCCUUUCUCACUCCUCUCCCUCACUACAACCGCACAGAGGCACGGUCUCGCGAGCACGGACGCGCGGAGCGGCGGAGCGGAUGCGCGGCCUCGCGCGGCGGUGCGGAUGCGCGGCACGGAGGCGCGGGGCGGCCUCGCGGGCACGGAUGCGCGGCGCGGCGGUACGGCCUCGUGGACACGGAGGCGCGGCGCGGCGGCCCGGCCUCAUCUCCCCUCCCGGCGGCGGCGCGUGGAUGGGCUUGCCGGGCCCAUGGAUGGGCUCGGCGGGCCUAUCCAUGGAUUUUAUUUUUUUUCUUUUUUUUUAACCGAAACGGGCAUGGAAACCACCUUGAUUAAUGCUUGGUUUACUGCGACCUUUCAAUGAAGGCGUUUUGUUUGCCCGUCUUGUAAAAUUCAAAACGCCCGUCGCUGUUAAUAAUUUUUGUAGUAGUGGCAGCUGCUAGCUAGUAUCUAAGCUAGGAUAUCAUGAUCACCCUUUGGCCACAAAAAGUUCGAUCAAGCACGCAUCACAUUCACAUAUAUAGCUUGCUAUAUAUACAAAGCCUGCCAUAUGCAUAAACCAAAGAAACAUCAAAUCCUUUCACACAUCAAACAUAUAUUAACCCCAUGACUGAUCCGUUGUUAAUUAGUGGAUGGUCGUCGUCAAAUUAUUUCACACAUCAAACAUAAAACCCAGAUUAAUUAAUUUCCCGUAUAAAUCCUACCAAAUUAAAGCCAAUUAGUAAACAAUUUGAUAUAUAGCAUGGCUGCUGGAUAUUAUUCGACUAUUUUAUAUAGGGAUAUAUAGAGCGUGUGUGUGCGUUUAUAGAAGUGAAUGUACGCUCGUGUUUGUGAGCGUCUGCAUCUGUAAUUAGAUCUCGUAAAAAAAACACAAAUAUAAGCAGUUGGCAGGGAAUUAUAAUGUCUCUCUCUCCCGAACCCAAUUGAUGACUCAUAUGUAGCUUCCUCUUCUUUUUCUUUGUCAAAAUUGACUUGGAUCUAAUUAAGAUAGAAACAUGAGGUCAAAUGGCUGAUAUAUAAAUAAAACAGAAACUAACUGCUCUACCUGACUCGAUCCAACGACACGUCGUAUUCUAACCUUACUUUUUUUUCUUUAUUUUUUAAAAAUAAAGUCUAAUUAUUGUGCCUAGCUUUUUCCAUGGUUUGUAACCACUCCCUUAUAUUUCUUGUACAAGCACUCCACCUCAAUCAGGCUACAAGUCCUACUUUUGCUAGUUUCCGGUCAGAAGAAGCCAUAGCCAGCAAGAAGAAGCCAUAGCAACAAGCUAAGUGGGGAACUAAUAAAGAAGAACAGCUAGCGGUGCAUAAUCAGAUGCGAAGAAUCGAAGCUGAUUUUUUGAAUCAUAUACCUUUCCUGCUUCAUCAAUCCAGUUGAGACUUGAGAAGAGAGGUUGGAGGAGAGUUCAAAAGAAGGUCAAAGUGAUCAAGAAGCUUAUUGAGCUGCCGGCAUCCGCACUGGUGUAGCAGGUGAUUGCAUGCAUGGGGGAUAGGACAUGGCAGCAACCACAUGAGCAGCCUCAAGCUUACCCAGACGCAGGGACGAUGGUCCAAGCUUCAUCCUCCUCCGUCCAUGGCAGCAUCAUGUAAACCCUAGCACACAUAGCAAGAUACAUAGCUGUAGAUUCGAAUCUUGUUCUGUUUUAUUGCGAAUAGAUACGUAGAAUUGAAGAUCGUUUGCUCUAUUUUCUUGCUUGCCUCUCUUCUAAUUUCUGAAGCAUAUAUAUGAAUAUUUUCUCGUGCCUUAUAUAUGGCCCUUAGUUUCUUCUCUGGUUUUCGUCAUCUUUUUCGGCCCUGUGUGCUUCAACUAAGUUAUUUUCAUGUCGCGGUUAUGAUUAUUAGCUACCUACGCAGGCAUGAUUUAUUGGGUAGCAUAUAUAAUCAUCUAUCUACUAUACUUCUGGAGAUUAUGAAUGAAAUUGGGCGUCCUAGCUAAUUUUUAAAAAUGAUUCUUUCUUUAAUUAGUCUGUACUUGCAUAUGUAAUAUGCACUAUUCAUGACGUAUGUUCAGAGAGAAUGUCAUGCUGUAAGUCUGUAACCAUGCAUGCAAGCUAUCAAAACUUUUUAAAAUACUUUUUAUUAAUUAAUUAUGAAAUGUAAAUUCAAUCCUAUCAAAGUUAACAGUGGUCCACGGUUUUCCCCUUCUACUGAACUUUUCCCACAAGAUGGAAAUGAAUUGUGUCCCCAUGGAAAUGUUAGCUUACAUUAAUUUAUUCAUUAUUGGUAGCAUUUCCGGUAUAUCAUUUUAGUAUGUAACUGACCAAACUAAAAUGGUGAUUGAUAUCAACUUAAUUUAUAAUUCUGUGUGUAUUAAUUUGUGCAAGUGCAGCAGAAAGGAACCUGGAGGCGGAUAUGACAUGGCCGAAUUCGAUCAAGCGCUCUUCCUCUAUCUUAACAGCCAGGAUCAAGCAUCAGUUAUUCAAGAUCAACCUCGUAAGCCACACUUAGCUUAUGCAUAUACAUAGCUGUAUAAGGGGCUAGAGCGAAUAAACUUUUUCCCUAUCAUAUAAUUAAACUUUAUUUAUUGCAUCAUAGGUUGAUCAAUAAUUAAACAUAAACAUGUCAUUUAGUCAUGCAUAUAUCUACCCUGAUUGGACAUGGCAAAACAAGAAUGAGCGAGACAAUGGCAUGAUCAAACCUCUCAAUCGUUUUUCCUUCUUUUUUGUAUGCAAAGCUUGUUCUGUCUGAGUCUGACAAAAGCCAAUUUAUUUCGGAAAAGGAAAAAGAAAGAAUCCCGGCUAGUUCAAGGAGAGUGACAUUUAACAAACACAUGCUCAUGUAUGUGUGUUCAUUCUGGUGGAAUAGGUCAUUUUCUUUCUGCUCAAAUAAGGCAGUUAGGCAGAGAUAUGAUUUCUCACUGUCCAAAUAUCUUUUACCACAUAUCUACUUCCAACAAACUAUGUACACGCAUAUGUGCAUGCAUUUUUCCCCCUUGUCCGUACUCCUAUACAUUUAUUCUUCGCUUUUUAACUAUAUAAUGUAUAGGACAAGUUAAUAAAUUAGUUCAAUGAUAUGGUGUGUCAUGAAUUAGCUUACAUCAUUCUCAGGAGGAUGUAAAGCAAUAAUUUCAAUCCUUUGGCAAAAAGCUAGAGAACCCCAAACUCAUGGAUCAUUAACAAAGCAUCAUCAGUCCGUUUUUUCCUCUACCGUUGUACAAGCUGCCCUCUAUGGCUUUGAUUUUUUUGUUGUACUUUUAGCUCAUAUUCUAGUAGUAGCUGUAGGGGCUGUGCUGUGUUAGAUCCCAAAGCAGUUGCACGGCUGCUUGUGUUUUUUCCCUUGUUUUUUUUUUUUGUGUUGUUCUUGUUUAGUUUGGUCACUGUCUUUUCCUUCUAAAGUUCUAAUAAUAAUAUAACUCUCUAUGUUGCCGUUUUAUAAAAGAUAAAUUAGUUCAAUGGACUAAUUAGCUUUGUUGUAAUAAAAACGUCAUGUGUAUAUAUAUAUAUAUAUGGGGUUCAUGCUAGCUGUUCAUGUUUUGGCAUGCAGAAACUCUCAACAUCUUCCCUUCUCAGCCAAUGCACGUCGUCGAGCCUGCACCAAAGGUACGUACGUAUACGUACGGUAUACAUGCAUCUGCUAGUCUCUAAUUGAUCGUCUUUCUUCUCAUGAGCUUUAUAAUUUCUAGCAGGGAGGAUCCAUGGGAACUAACAACACGGCAUCGAACGCCGCCGCCGUCGCUGGCUCGUCGUCCAAGCAGCAGCAGCAGCCGCCGCCGCCGCCGCCACCGCCAAAUAAGGACGGCGGCAAGCCGGCCGCCGUCAAGGUUAAUUAGUUCACUUACCCGGCCUGACCGUUCCGUCUCCUAACCUAUCUGAUGAUGUGCCAUUGUCGUCGUCGUCGUCGUCAGAGAGAAGGGAGCGGCGGCGGCGCCGCCAUGGGAAGCGGGACGCCAUCGACGUCGAAUAAUCGACAGGAGGGCCGCCCCAGGACUUCAGACGCCAAGACGCUAAGAAGGCUCGCGCAGAACAGGGAGGCCGCCAGGAAAAGCAGGCUCAGAAAGAAGGUAUUCAUCCUGCGACUAACCAAGAAAGCGAGUCCUAACAAAACCAAGAAAUUGGUGAAAUCACCUCAAAGAAAAAAAUGGUGAAAUUAACUUUAGAUUUUUCAUGCAUGAGAUGAUUCCCAUUUCCUGUUUCCCAUAUCAUUUCUUUCAUGGCCUGGAUAUAUAUUUGGUUAAUGUUCGUUUUCAUUUGCCCCUUCUCUCUAAAAUACAAUCAAUCGUAGGCUUACAUUCAGAACCUAGAGACAAGCAGGAUUAGGCUGACCCAGCUGGAGCAAGACUUACACUACAGAUCCAGAACUCAGGUAUAUUGAACGAACUGAAAACAAACAUAUCCUAAAUUCAUAAUAAUGUAUUUCCAACUUUAUGACUAAGAAGAGAACCUGAGGUAUAUAUACCAUAUAUCCAUAUAUAUAGUAGGAGUGCUUUAACAAUCUUUAUCCUUAUACUUGUAUAUAUAGCUUGAUUACAGUUUUUGGAAUUAACAUGAAGAAGCAGGGAGGCCUGCCAAAAAGGAACCUAUCUAAUAAUUUGAUAUAGUUAUAUUAUUAUUACUAGGUAACAUUUUUAAGGAAAAAACAACAACAUAGGCUUAUUAUAAAAGACGGCAAAAGUGAAGAUAAUAUUAUUAUAUUGUUCCAUACUAUAUACUUUCAUAAACGUACUGACUGAGCUUGUUCCGUGUGCAUUUCGACAAACAAAUCAACCAGGGAGCAGUGUUCGGUGGUGGAGCUCUUUCUGGUUGCAGUGGCGGACUAAGCCCAGGCAUGCAUUCAAUUCAAAACCUAGCUAGCUAGCUAAACUGCUCGCAUGCAUGCGUGCAUCUUAGCUCUUACUCCCUUCGUUCGAAUAUAAUUAUAUAUGCAAUUCUCAUGAGUCAAACAAUUUAAAUUUUAACUAAAAUUAUAUAAAAAAGAUACAAACACUCAUGAAACAAAAAAUAUAUCAUUAGAUCAGUUAUAGAAUAUAUUAUUUUUAUAAUAAAUUUAUUUAGAUAUAUAAAUAUUAAUAUUAUUUUUUAUAAAUUCAAUCAAAGUUGAGCUUGUUUGACUGACAUGCUUUUUGUAAUUGUAUUCUUUUUUUAAGAUGAAGGGAGUAUAUUACACAUUCCUAAGUCCUACAUGCUAGCUCCUUUUUUAUAGACUAUCUCUCUUGCAUGCAUUGCACGUUUACACGUUUAUUACAAACAAGUUGAUGAAUCUUGCAAUCACCCCAUGAGCAGAGGCGGCAUGGUUCGACAUGGAGCACGCGAGGUGGCAGGAGGAGCACGGCAAGAUGAUGCGCCACCUGCGGGCGGCGCUGGAGGCGGAGCACGCGGCGUCGGCGGCGUCGACGUCUACGGCGGCGGAGGCACAGCUCCUCCGGCAGCUGGUGGACGCGGCCGCGGCGCACCACGGCGUGCUGGCGGAGCUGAAGGCCGUGGCGGCGAGGGCCGACGCGUUCCACCUCGUGUCCGGCGCGUGGGCGUCCGCCGCCGAGCGCUGCUUCCUCUGGAUCGGCGGCUUCCGCCCUUCAGAGCUCAUCAAGGUUAGUUUUACCUUUAAUUAACCAACAACUGGUUGGCACACACUACUACGUAGAGUAGUUCGUUAACUUCGUACCACCUCUGCAUUGCUACCUCAAGAGUCAAGACUGAAAAUUGAAAACGCUGAGCUCAAAUUUCUGUAAGCCGCAUGAGCUCACGGGCUACACUCAUCACGUCUGAUAAACCAAUUGUGCGUGCUACUCGAUCCUUUCUUUAAUUGGUGUUCCCAAAUCAAGUCCACGAAAUUAAUUAGUACGUGCAUUGCGUGUCUUAACUUUGACCCACACAAUGACACACACAGUUCCAGCCUAAGCUGCCUCCUCCUUGUUUUUGGUACACGAGGCAUGCAUGCAUGUCUCACGACGACUCACGGCUCAUGAGUGAGGGUGACAGCUAUGCAUAUAGGGCCUUGUUUUAGUUCGAAAAGAAUUGCAAAAUGAAUAUAGUAACAUUUUCGUUUGUAUUUGACAAAUAUUGUCUAAACAUGAAUUAAUUCAGCUUAAAAGAUUUGUCUCGCAAAUUACAGGUAAACUGUAUUAUUAGUUAUUUUUUAUUUAUAUUUAAUGCUCUAUGCAUGUGCCGCAAGAUUCGAUGUGACGAGGUCUGAAAAAUUUUGCAAAAAAUUUUAGAAACUAAACAAGGCCUCUGUACGUACGUGCUGAUGAUGUAGGACAAUAAUGAUAUACACACAUAUAAAUAUAUAAAAUACAUAUGAAAAGGUUAAGGAUUCAUAUGCUAUUUGGUACUAAAAAUGGACAGAGACAUUAGGUAAAAGCAGUAUCAAUGGAAUAUGGUGGAUUAGCUAGCUGAUUAGGUAGGUAAGAAGUCCCAGUUACGUUGAUGGGAACAGUUUUAGGCCUUUGGGAAUUGUCUUCGGACUUUUCUAUAUAGUACUAUAGCAGCCAUCUACUACUACUAUGUGACUUGGUACUUACUGCAAUUGCAACAGGGUAGUAGGUUAGAUGGGCGAUGGAGACGGGUUUGGUUAACUUACCUACAACACUGCAAAGGACCUGCUUGGCCUUGACACAUGCAUGUAUGCCUUUUGGCUUCUAGAUGGAUUGGUUGGAACAUGCAACUUGGGAACGACCAACAACCCUGCAUGUUUUACAAUAGUACAAAAAAAAGGUCCCUAUUACAACUCUAAGUAUAGGUAGAUGUGUCUCUAUUCUCUGUGUUUAGAUGUUUUCUAAAUUUUUUGGUCUGUAAGCAUAAGACACGGGCCCCUAAGCAAGUUUACAUAGUAUGGGGCUCCAAGGUCCUAAAUUCCAGAUCUUUACAGCCUAAGUCACUACUACAGAUUUUUUUUCUAGAGGCGGGCGUUUUUUAUUUUCAGAGGCGGGCAAAAGCAACCGCCGUCAAUAUAAGGUCACGGUUAAUCGUGACUUUACAGAGACGGUUAUCCUGCCCGCCUCCAUUAAUCGAUUAGUGGAGACGGUUAUCUUAGAGCGGCCAUCGCGGUUAAUGAAUAUUAAAAAAGCAAGCCCAAUCGAGCCCGCCGCUGCGCUCUCGCGUCCGCGGCGCCGCCGUAUGCGUUGUCACCGCUGGGGCCUGAUCCGCAGCUCUCUGGUGGCCGGAUCCGCGACCGGUACCUAUGCUCCUCGCUGGAUCUGCCGCCAUGGCCCCUUGUCGAGGCAGCUCGCGUCGCCGUGUCCCCUGGUUGGAGCAGCCCACGCCGUCGUGUCCCCUUGUCGAGGAGACCUGCGCCACCAUGUCCCCUCGUCGUGGUGGAUCCGCAUCGUCGUGGCCUCUCGGCGCCGCCGUGGACCCUCCUCGAAGCAGCCCGCCCUACAGAGAGGAUGGGGAGGGGAGGAGAGGGGAGCGGCGGCGAGCUCUGAGGGGAGGGGAGGGCGGGGCGUCGAGCUCUGAGGGCAGCGAGCUAUGAGCAGAGUGGAGGGGGAGGGGAGGAGAGAUGGAGUCGACGUUUGAAGGAAAGGGAGGGGUAUGGGCGCGUGCGGCUGCGAUGGUGGGAGUGGGAGUUAGGGUUUCCUGAUGGAUUUAUAUAUAUAUUGGAGUUGGUAGUGGGCUGGUAUGGGCUAGUGGGUUGGACUACAUUUACAGAGACGGUUGAAUUAGAAUGCCCGCCUCGGUUAAUGAUUUUCUGAGGCGGUUACGUUAAAAUGCCUGCCUCGGUUAAUAUAUAUUAACCCAGGCGGGCCAGUUAGGUUGACCGCCUCCGUAAAUCGAUUUUGCGAGGCGGUUUUCUUUGACCGCCACGGUAAAUAAAAAAUAACCGCCUCAGUUAAUUCGAAGUAUUAACCGAAGUGGUUGAAAAGAUUGCCCGCCUCCGAGGCUCUUUUGAAAAGGUCUCGCAAAAUAUUUUUUGUAGUAGUGAGUUUUACAGACCCCUGUUUAGAUCCAUUCUUUCAAAAAGUUCUUAUUUCUUCAAAAGUUUUGGCUGCAUCUAAACAGGGCCAUACAAGGGGAACUUUUUUUUUUCUUAAACUAUCAAACUUGCAAGCGCAGGCGAACUUUUUCUUAAACCAUCAAGCUCUGCUUAUUGUAUGUAUUGUUGCAAUAGGAUGUAUCAUUUUACUUAGUCACUUAGACCAAUUCAUGAUAAUGGUAAUUAGCUAAUUAUCUUUAUUGGAUUUAAUUAGGCUUGGCUGGAGCUUAUUUCGACUACAUCAGAAAAUGUGGCAUAAAAUCUAAGAAAAUAGGUCACCAAACUUUGUAUCCAAGUUUGUCGUGCAACAGUGUGUUUUUCUAAAAUUUUAUAUAAUGUCCGGGUCAUUUUUAUAGAAUUUGGCUAAACUUGAAAUCUAUGGAAUUAAAACAAAAGGUAAAUCUCUUUCUCCCUUCCUCACUUCCUCUAGGUUCUUAGAGCAAGUCUAGUAAAGGGAUGUUAGUGGUUGUAUCGUUGUAGGCUUAGAUAGAGGAGAGAAGACAGAUGAGAGUGGAGAAGCUUCGUGAGAGACUUUGUGAGAGAGACUCUUGUAUCUAAGCCACCCACCUGAUUCGCUUGAAGACUCAAGAAGAGGCACUACUCUUUGAGUAGCGAAGAUCCAAGGGUGUGCAACACACAUCAUGCAUAUGCGCUACCAGCUACUCUCUGUCCUGCAUCUCUCUACACACGCGUGCCCCUCUGAUCUUCUCUUCUAUGAUGGCAACAUUUUAGCACUAGAGCGACAUAAAAUACAAACUAUGAAUAAAAAACAAUUAACAUCUUUAUUUGAACAGUCACAGAAAAAUAGCAUAUUAUAGUGAAGGAAUUAAUCUCAUAUAGAAACUCGACUAGAUAUUGACCUAGUUUAAAUAGAUGGCUAUUAUGUGUAUCUAUUGUAAGGUUAAGAAAGGUGAAAUGUGGCAUGGGCUCGAGAAUCGAGGCUACAGUAUGAGUGUCGCGACAUCAAUAAAGGUUUUGCAUUCUACCAUUCUACCGUAACCAACUUAGUGUCCUAGGAGGAGGAUAUAAUUUAUCUGUAGUUCCAAACUAUAAACAUCGUUUGUCACCUAUGCCUUCAAACUCUAGGUCUAUGUUUGACACUUGUGAAGGCAAGAAGAGUUCUACUGAAGGUAAGAAGAGCUAGAGUGAGAAACGACAGAUCAAAGGAUGGGAGAAGAGGUACGUGGGACAAACGGUAUAGAGUGAUGAACUUCGAGACGUGAGAAGAGAAAGUGGAUGUUAAAAGUUCAUGUUCACAUUUACCUACCGGUAGUUCAUUAAUGUAAUGCUGAACAUCAUAAUGGAGUAUAUUCAUAUGUAUAAUACUCCCUCUGUGUCUUUCUAGAGUUGUUUUAAGUUAAAUAUUUUAAAUUUUAACCAAAUUUCUAGAAAAAAAUGCUAAAAUUUAUGAUAUCAAAUUAGUAUCAUUAGAUUCAUCAUAGAAUAUAUUUUCACAUGAUACACAUUUUUUGUCAUAAAUGAUGUUAUUAUUUUCUAUAAAAUUAGUCAAAUUUAGAAAAGUUUGAUGGCACGGAUGGAGGGAGUAUACUAAUAAAAUUACCGAGGGAGUAUACUAAUAAAAUUACUUUUGUGCGUGCUUCUUUCAUCAUGGUUAAGCUGUCCAGAUUUCACUUCAAUUAUUUAUUAGUGCUGCUAUUUUUUUCCUCAAAAUUUAAAAGAGUACUAGUCUACUAGAUAUCAACCAAUUAAUCAACCAGUAUGCAUCCCGACGCAGAUAGCGGCCCGGCACGCGGAGCCCCUGACGGAGCAGCAGGCGAUGGGCGUCUGCGGCGUGCAGCAGUGGGCGAGGGACGCGGAGGCGGCGCUGGACCACGAGCUGCAGGCGAUGCACCGCUCCGUCUCGGAGGCCGUCUCCUCCGACGCGGCGGCGCUGCUCUGCCCCUACUCCGACGUGCCCGGCUUCAUGGCCACCAUGUCCCUCGCCAUCAGCAAGCUCGCCUCCCUCGAAGCCUUCGUCAGACAAGUAAGCAAAAGCUCUUGGUUGUGUGUGUCUUUCCCAUGUGAAACACGGUAACAGCAACAAUGGUGAACGCGUGAUCGAUCGGUUGCAUUGCAUUGCAGGCGGACGCGCUUAGGCUGCAGGCGCUGCACCGGCUGCCGCAGAUCCUGACGGCGCGGCAGUCGGCGCGGUGCUUCCUCGCCAUCGCCGACUACUCCCACCGCCUCCGUGCGCUCAGCGAACUCUGGCACACCCGGCCAGGCCAAGAUCCAGCGGCGAGCAACCUGGCGGCCGGGCCCAGCAGCCAGAGACCGCCCUACCAAAGUAGGGACGGUUUACUAUAGACAUAUAAUAGUCUGGGAUAGUUUCAGAGAUACAUAUACAGUUGAUCACUGAUCAGUAGUAAUUCAGAUGACCCAUUCCUCGCUUAUUUAUGAAGGGUAAUACUAAGGCCUUGUUUAGUUUGUAAAAUUUUUGGGUUUUGGCUACUGUAGCACUUUCGUUUUUAUUUGACAAACAUUGUCCAAUCAUGGAGUAACUAGACUCAAAAGAUUCAUCUCAUAAAUUACAGGUAAACUGUGUAAUUAGUUUUUAUUUUCGUCUAUAUUUAAUGCUCCAUGCAUGCGACCAAAGAUUCGAUGUGACGGGAAAUCUUGAAAUUUUUUGCGAACUAAACAAGGCCUAAACAAGGCCUAAGUAGUAGCUGAUUCAGCAGUAUGGAUAUGAAAUAGUGGGAAGGAAUAACAACUGAAACUGCCAAAUUGCCAAGCUGAUUCAGCCAGGCGCCAGCAUUGACAUGUCAAACACUCAGAAGGUGUAGCAUUCAGAUUGAUACAUGGUGAGAAACUAAAUUAUUGCAGAACAAUUGCCAAAUAAUGGGGUGCUACAUGCUACAAUUGUCAUGUACAAAUACAACCAGCCUCCCUCCAAAGUCCGAUCUCAGUGCGAGCAGUUAAGUUGCAGCCGACACAUUGUAGUUAAAAAAAAAAACCUUCGGUACAGGGUGUAUCUAGUAUAUGAAAUGCGGUUAUAGGGUUCAGCUGAUGUCGCAACCCCAAAUUCAGAACAGUCACACAACAUCAAGUGCCAUCACAAGGAUGACUUCCCUCUCACCUUCUGGUGCUACAAUCUGUCAAGGGCGUCAAUGAUGGCCUUGCGAAAUGCAUCAUUGUGGAGGAAAAAAGAGGAAACAUGGCCGCCUGUUACCCACCGGACUUCUGAGCCUGGCCAUGCCUUCUGGAGCUCCAUGACUGAAUGUCUGGGAAUAUAACCGUCAUCCUGUAAAGAGAACAUAGCUCCAGAUUAGAAGAAGAAUGCUCCAGAUAAAUAUGAAUGCUGAGUAAGAAAUCGAACCCUCUGAAAUAAGGAGGUAAUUUAACCAAUCUUCAAAAAAAGUACUCAAGUAAACUAUCUGCUAUCAAUGUAUGUUUCAAUUUCUCAACAUUGCUCAAGCAAGCUAAGGUAACCUGCUGUUUGGUAAAAGACAUAUUUUGAGUACUCACACCAUUUCCUUUUAUAAGCUGUAAUAGGAUUUGAUAGUCUUUCAAGAUAAUCUUUGACCAUUAAUUUCUUAGUGUAUAAGCAACUACAAAUAAACAUCCUACUAAAAGGCAUAAACACAAAUCUAUUGAUAUAUCAUGGUGCACUAAACACACAUAUAUUUUGACUAACUGAUGAUCCGAGUUUGUAGUGUUUGACUUUUUUUUCUGUGAAAACUAAUACACCCUGCAUUUUGAAAUGGAAGGAAUAGUAAAGUAGGCAGUCACCUAGUGACAUAAUCUGAUCGUGGUUAGUGGUUACUCUGCCAAAAUCAUGAAACCAAGUAAAAAGAUGAGCAGGAAAACAAUUAUGUUUUUUGAGAUAAUAAACUGAUGUUAAAAGGCCAUAAAGCUCGGAGAGCAUCACUAACCGUUGCACCAACAAAGAUGACCGCCUGUGGGUUCUUUGGGACUGGGAAUCGAGUGACAUCAGUCAAAGACAACACUGACCGCAACCUAUCUCUGACUUGUUCGAUAGUAAUCCCAGUUUUCUGUGCAGCAUCUUCUGCCAAAGAUGUUACAUCUUGAGUUAAUGCUGCAGCAUCUUCUCUCAAAACAUCCCAAGCUGUGGCGUAUUUGUAGACCCCUUCACAGAAAGGUACCACUGCAGAGUGUGGAGCGAGAAAUGGCAGUGUGGCAAUUGGUGUAGGAUGCAGGGAUCCCACCAUUGCAGCAUGUACUCCACCUGUGACAUCAGCAAAGAAACCAUUUGAGAAGAAUGCACAAGAGAUCUUGUAAAAUAAAACCAGAAAAAAUACAAUAACAGAUGGUUUUGACAAAUAGGCUGCUACAUGAUUUCUAAGAAGCACUUAUUCAGUCAUCGGGAAAACCAGUAAUUUUAGCAGUGCUUGAAUUUAGGUACUUGAAUGUCAUGGAUUCACAGAAACAAGUGUCUUUGAUGGUGCCUCCCCCUCACGCUUGAUGGCUUAUCAGUAUUUCAAAGAGGACAUGAGAUUAUGGGGCCUAGCUGGAGCUAGAGACCUUCUGGACUAGUCCAGGGUAGGGUUGUUCCUUGCUCUAUUUUGUUUCAGGUGUAUGUUAUCCCCCCCCCCCCUCCCCCCCCCCCCCCCCCCCCCCAAGUCUUUUAAGGUCACCCUUUCAUAUUCCCUUGUGAAAUAAGGGGGUUGUGUUGUAUUGCAUGGGAUCCCUUCCUCCCUCCCUCUCUCAUACAAAGAUACGCAGACCUCCUGCGUGUUCGGGGGUAAAAAGGAAAACCAGUAUUACAUACCCAUGCUGAGCCCGCAUACGCCCAUCUUGCUGUAACCAGCCUCGGUCUGCAGCCAGUACAGGAGACUGCGAGCUUCAUCAAUUGUGGCUUUCCCUAAAAGUAACAGGUCACUGACACACUGGAGCUUUGCACCACGCUGCAUGCUAGGACGUCGCUGUCCAUAAUAGGGGCUGUGGUUCAUGAGUUAUCAGAUCUUGGCAAACAGUGGAUAAAAAAUCAUACAAAAGAACAAAAGCAAAUCUCACCUCUCAAGAACCAUAGUUGCAAUAUUGUUCUUCAGAAGAGGCCCACCGAGCCGAAGCCUGCGCUCAAAUGUGUGAUCACCAGUGCCUAUAAUAUUUCAGAAAAUGUAGAUUGAUUCAUUACAUGCGAGUAAAGGAAUAUUUUUUAUAUAAAAAAGAGGCACAGAUUUUGAUAAAAUGAAAGUAUACAUUUUUAGGCAAGAACAAGUUUAUGAUACUGCUUAGGCGUUCGUGAAUUAAUGAUACUUACAGUAAAAAUGACUAGUAAUUGUUCAAGUUUGGCACUUGGAAAGUUGGAAGCAAGAAAAUAAAAUAUCUUGAAGAUAAGGAGUUGUCAAAGAGGAAUGUUAAAGUUGGCAGUGCUAGAAAGCCAGCAGACAAUACAUCCAUAUAGCAUUCCACUAGCAAAAACCUUUUAAAAAUGUGAAAUGCAUACAAGCCAAACAGUCAUAUCAGAAAAGGUUUUCAUAACCUAUGCAGCAUUAGGGAACAAAUAAAGAAACUACAAAAUCAUGUACCUGCAAGAUGGACCACACAUGACAUCUUCUCAGGUGUAACAUUUUUAGGGGUAAGAAAAGCAACUCUUGCAUUGUGACUCUCAAGGGGCAAUGCGCCAAUUAGUCGCUCAUCACAUGUAGUCCUGAAAACACCUUCUCGCAGACAAGAACUGUUUGUCUCCCAUACUGUUUUCCACAUUGGCUGCACAGCAGUUGGUGGCCAGUUUUGGCAACGUGCCUCCGGAAACAACUGCUUCACCAUCUUUUCUAGCAAAUCAAGUUUGGUACCUCCCCAUCCUUUUGAGAAAAAUGGUGUUCCUAGUUUGGUGCGAUGAAGAAGAGUUCCAUAUAUGUGGUCCAGUACAUAAUGCACUAACCCAAUAUUAACUGAUACCAUGUCCAACCACUGGUUAAAUAAACCUGAUUCUCCAAACCUCCUUUUUAUAAAUUAUAAUUACAAGACCAAGAUAUGCCUGCAACACAAAAUUAACAAGAAUCAAGGUUUAACAUACUUUGCGAAAUUCAAUGCAGAAGGAACACUUAACAGGACAGUCUGCAGCAUAUCAGUCACAGUCACACAGUGGAGGCUCACACAGUUGUUUUUUGACAAUUGUCGACCCAAAACUUUUUUGCAGGUUAUAUUCAGAGAACAAAUUGGCUACUUCAAUGGGCGCAAUUACAACGGGAUGAAGCCAAUAAGCAGCACAUUUUCCAAGUCUGUCAAAUGCUAGAGGCAAUGGCAAUGGAUUUUUCUGUGUCCUUUGUAUGGCCUUAUAAUUUAAGAAUUGCAUUUUGAGUGUGACAUUUGUGUGGUUACAAAAUACUGUAAUAAGUGGUCUGAUUAUCUUGGAGACAAGAUAUGAAGCCAGAUUUAUUUCCAUUAUCUAAAAAAGAUAGGGCAUAGCAACACAAAUUAAGCACUCAACAGAUAUAUAGAGCAGUGAGCUACAAAAGCUGUCCAGAUUUGGACACAACCAGAAACCAUAAUAAGAGUAGAGAACUGCUAAGGGACAAAGCCAAACUAGAAUGGUCGAUUCUGAAAUUGGAAUGACCAACCAACACUUAGUGAAAUACAAACUACUGAACCAACCACCAAAUAUUCCGAGCAUUUCUUAAAAGGCAGAUGACAUGAGCUUUGAUACAUUUGGUGGCUCAAUGUCGUAGAUAUAAAGAAGGAAAACAUUUCUUUAUUUGAAGCAUGCUUGCUUGUGUCGACCCAUUUCAAUUAGACAUGACAGUUGCGACCUUAUAAUUUCAGAAUUGAGUUUUGAGUGAGACAUUUGUGUGGUGUAAUAAGUGGUCUGAUUAUCUUGGAGACAAGAGAUGAAGCCAGAUUUAUUUCCAUUAUCUAAAAAAGAUAGGGCAUAUCAACACGAAUUAAGCACUCAAUAGACAUAUAGAGCGGUGGGCUACAAAAGCUGUCCAGAUUUGGAUACAACCAGAAAACAUAAUAAGAGUAGAGAACUGCUAAGGGACAAAGCCAAACUAGAGUGGUUGGUUCUGAAAUUGGAAUGACCAACCAACGUUAGUGAAAUAUAAACUACUGAACCAACCAGAAAAUAUUCCAAACAUUUCUUAAAAGGCAGAUGACAUGGGUUUUGAUACAUUUGGUGGCUCAAUGUCGUAGACAUAAAAAAGGAAAACAUUUCUUUAUUUGAAACAUGAUUGCUUGUGUUGACCCAUUUCAACUAGACAUGACAGUUGAUUCCAAGGAAUAUCAGAACUAGUGAACUAGUCAAAGCUUGUGUACCACUUCCAGGAGAGCGAGAAUUCUACACUUUCACUUGAGGGCAAUUCAGGAUAAUGUAGCAUCAUUUCAUCUCAUGCAGGUACUACAACCACAGUGAGAACAAUUUUUGCACAUAGGAACGCAACUAAUUGAGGUAGAUCCAGAACAAAUCCGAUUAAGCUCGCUAAAAACGUCCGGAAGAUGCAAUGCAGGUGCUCAGAUGUCCUCUUCCCAGCACGCACAUAACAUCAACACACGCUGAUUUCGAAAUUAUUGGUUGUCCAGAAGGUCGCACCUUGAGAUGAACGCGACGGGGUGCCAGCGACGACGAGACGGCAGAAGACCGCCAGCGCACCUCGGCAGCCGGCGGAACACGAAUACCAGUCCGACACACUCGGUACCAAACCACCGCGCGCGAAGGGGAGUGGUAUAAGGACAAUCCGGGGGGCAAGAUCCACGGCGGAUACCGCGACAGAACGCGGGUGGUGGGUGGGCGGCGCGACACGAGCAGAAGGACCUCGCCAAGAAACCAAGAAGACGACGGGUGGGAGCUGGAUCGCACGAGCCUGGCUGCACGGUUCGCGUUCUCUCUGUCUGGUCCAGGAGCUCCACGGAUUCCUUGUGCACGGCUCAACCCGUCAAGGCGUCAACCGAAGAAGAAGAGGAGGAAGAAACCGGUGGGCGACGACCGCGGGGAUGGGGAGGUGACGGCGCCGUGGCUUGCUUUCGCUCCCCGGAUCUGAUUCGGGGGGCGGAUGCUCGAUUUCUGCCGUGUGGGCCACCGUGGGGCCCGGGGAGCAGGGACAGGCGGAGUGCGCUGUCCGCAGGGCCGUUGUCUUUUGGUGGCAACGCCAACGGCGGCCGGGGCCCGGGGGUACGUGGCGGCCGGAUAAGGUGGGUCCGAUGUCGAGGUGGCGGUGCUAGUCGGAGCUGAAUGGGGCUGAUUUGGCCCGGACUUGCAAAUUAGACCCAAUUUCGUGUUUGCUAGCAUUUUAGGGCUGUGGCUGUGGCUCAAGCAACUGCCUGGCGCCGCGCUAGCUCCACAGAGAGGUGGAGUGAGAAAUAUAUUUGUUUAGGAGUCAACAAUCUUUAAAAUAAAUAAAUUAAGGGUCUGUUUAGUUCUCAGAAUGUAAAAUAUAAAAUAUUAAUUAUUUUGGAAUGAUGAAAUAUAAAAUGCUAAAAUUUUUAGAGUUAUGUUUAGUUCUAUCAAAAAUGUAGAAUUUAUUGCUCUUUUGAACUUUUUUGGCCUCUUGAGGCCAAAAUCCAAAAUGAAGAAUGGUAACCAUUUUACCAAAAUUUUUACAUAGUGUUUAGUUCCAUUAUACGAAAUAAUAUACCAAAACCUUUUUUUGGAUAGAAGGGAACUAAAUACCUCCUAAAUAACUGGACGGGUUAACGUACCCGGCCUCGUUUAGUUUAAGGUGUUUUGGGGCGUCAUAUCAGUUGUCAUAUAGGGUUGUUGCAUGGGAUCUAAAUAAAAAAUAAAUAAAUUAUAAAAAAUACAGAAUCUGUUAAUAAACCGCAAGACGAAUUUAUUAAGCCUAGUUAAUCCAUCAUUAGUACAUGUGUUAGCAUAACACUCUAUUGUCAAAAUUAUAGACUAAUUAGACUUAAAGAUUUAUCUCGCAAAGUAGUCGUAAUCUGUGUAAUUAGUUAGUUUUUAGUAUAUAUUUAAUACUCUAUGCAUGUUCAAACAUUUGAUGGCUGUGUAAACUUUUUAGCAAGGAACUAAACAAGGUCGCCCCACCGCCGCCCGCCGCCCUGUGGUGGCAAGCUAGGGUUUCGCCACAGCUUCGCGGCCAUGGCCAUGGCCUUGGAGCUCCAGCGAAACACUAGCUCACCGGCGGCGCCACCUUCUUCCCCUUCCCUCGCCCCUACCGUCACUACCUUGGCCAUGGUGCCCCUGCCCCUCUACUUGGCCCGGACGCCUCCACGUCGCCAGGGCCUCUAAACUGCACGCGCGACAUCCCCACCGCAUGGGCGGUCUUCCUCCCCAAAUCGCCUUUCCUUCUAAGGACACUAUAAUUUGGGAAGAAGAGAGGGAAAGCUUGCUGAAACCCUAAUGUGGAGGAGGAGGAGGAGGAGGAGGAAGAGGAGGAGGAGGAGGAUAAGAAGAAGAAGGAGGAGGAGGAGGAGGCCUACCUCAGCGGAUCCGCCAUAGCCAGCGAGCUCAACGCGGGUGGGGCGCGAGCACGGGCAUGAGGAGGCGGUGGGGUGUGAGCGAGAGAGGACACCACCGGGAGGAGCUCGCCGGUCACCGGAGAGAGAGAGAGAGAGGGCGUGCAAGUAGAGAGAGAGAAACCAACAUGGACGUGCAGGUGAGUGAUGAAGGAAGUGUGCACGUGUCUAGACUUCUUUACCGUCAUGCGUAAAGAAGUCAUUAACUUAAUGAAACUUUAAUAAUUUUAAUAAUAACUAUAUGGACUUAUGUCUCGCCCUCUCCCUCCCUCGUGGAUGACCACUAUUCAAAUAGGCAUUUUAUACAAAAAUGAUGCAGGAGGGUCUGUGCAACGUGAUGGUUCUUUAACUUUAACAGAAACAUUUAUCCACAUGGCCUUGGUACGAUGAAUUGUUAUAGUCCAUCAUUUUCUCACUUUUUGUUUUUAUUUUGGUUUGUAUGAUAAAAAAAGUUGAGCCAUUACUAGUUGUACUAUUUUGUUCGUCAUAAGCUAAUAUUUAGUACUCUCUAGUCAAGAUUAUAAGUCGUUUUUUUAGAUUGAAGAUUAUAAAUCGUUAAUAUAUAUCUAAAUACAGAGCAAAAGUCAUGUAUGGUUCUCCUGGAUAUGUAUGGUUCUGCCACAGCUUAGAGACAACUUCAGGGAUAUGUAUGGUUCGCUCCAGCCACAUGACGUUACAAGCAUGAGUAUUUCCUUCGGCAGAGGAUGUCAGGAGACGUAUUCUUAUCUCUAUCAACCAAUGUUUACUAUAAAUUGAGAUUCUAGAAUCAUGAUGAUCAAUCCUUUUUUUUCUUUUUUUCAACCGCUAUAUAUUAGUUGUGUAGCUUUCUUUCUUCUCAUUGAAUAUCUGUCUACACAAAUAAUUCUUAUGAGGGGUUUGCUACUUGAUUGCUUUAUCAACAUCACGGUCACCUCUUCCCGAUCCAAGGAAACACAUCUAAUAGGCCUACGGAGCUAGCCUAAUGCAUGGCAGUAGCGAAGGUAGAGGAUAUUAAAAAUGGUGAACUUUGCUUAUGAGUGUAUAGACUUUUGUCAUAGAAGGGUACAUAUAUAGUAAAAAUUUGAUCAUUAUAAUUGUCUUUUGAAAUUUUAGGGACACCCCCUAGUCACACUAUAGCUUCGCCCCUAGUGUAUCAUAUUGAUCAUUCCACGACAAUAUUUUCUCCAUCAUAUCGGAUAAUAACCACACGCCACAAACAAAAUAAUGCUAGGAGAUAUACUCAUCAUCAUAAUAAACAUCACCUCAUAUAGAAUAGAAUGGUUUCUCAAACCAGACUCCCCUUUUAACCAUGACCGAUCUAUUUGUCAGUCUUCAGAUUGGCAAACCAGAGUAGGUACAAGCUGCCACGGUCUAAUCUUUCUGAAUGUGAGUAACAUCGUGCACACUGUAACGGUGGCACACGACAAUCGGUCAGUGCAUUCCUAGUGUCGUCGAUCAAUCUGAGGAAUGCGUGCAUAGAUGGAUGCACCUGCCUCUGAACAUCCAGCAGAUAAGGAAAACGGGGAAACAGGAUCAGUCAGAGAUGCCAUGCAUCCAACAGAUAAGGAAAACGGGGAAACAGGAUCGGUUAGAUGCCAUGCAUGUCCAGCAAGCAAAGCGAACCAGAGCCGGCAAAUGGAUGGACAUGCCAUGCCAUGCCAUGUCCUGCAAACGGCAGCAGCGUGCCGAGAUCAGAAAGACGGCGAUCGGCGGCGCACGACCUUGCCUUGCCGCAAGUGGCCUCUGGGUUCAGCUCAGGUCAUUCUGGUGAUCCACGAUUCCAUCCAUCAUUCCAUGCACAGAACAGAACGGCCGGCCCAGGUUGGUUGUAGCCUGACGCAUCCGCUCUCCCGCGGCUUCCGUUGCGAGCCCCCGGCAAGUGGCCAUCGUUAUACUUCGUCAGUGUAGGAUCGCUCGCUCGCUCGCCACCUCGCCGAGUAGAGGAGCAACCGGAAGAGGGAGAGGGAAGGCCUGUGUGGCGUGCGACGUGACGCGGACGCGCCACUCGCCGCCGUCGCCGUCGGCGUCGCGGCGGUGGCGUGCAAGCAAACAAGCGUCGAGCGGUGGCCAAGCCAAUGAUGGAUUGGAACGGGCAGCCAGAUUGAGGAGGAGGACCCCUGAUGAUGGGCAUCCGCACUCCGCAUUCGGCUUGCCGCUCUUGGGGGUCCAAGAAUCCCCUAUAAAUCCGUCCGCUCUCCCCGAUGAGGGGGGGAAAAAAUUACCCGGCACAAGUGUCAGUUGUUCAGUACUUGGUAGUCCGUAGUCGGUCCACUUCAUCUAUCACUAUCAGCUUGCGAGGAGAGGAAAAAAGGUCGUCUUCUCCAAUCUUUGGCUGUCUUGCCAAUGGCUUUCCGGGCAAUCCUUGGCUGACUCGACGGUCGUUUGAUGCGUUGUCGCCAUUUCUUGAUGCUUCUCCUCUUCGCGCCUGUCAUCAGGUAUUAAAGGUCUGGGGGUGUUGGAGGCUUUCGCUAAUGCGGUGGGUGUGCAUCGACUGAGGAGUGGGUGGUGGUACUGGGUACUGAGCGGUUCUUGCAAGAAAGGGGGUCAUGGCGCGAGCGCCGAGCGUGCCGGCAGCGACGGCCGUGGGGAUCGUGGUGCUGCUGACCGCCGCCGCCGCCGCCGCCUUCCGCGGCGCGGAAGGGAAAUCGUGCACGAACGCGUUCCCGGGAUUGACCUCGUCGCACACGGAGCGCGCGGCGGCGCAGCUGCAGCGGGGGCCACCGGCGACGGCGCUCCAGCCCGUCGUUCACCGCCACGGCCACGACCACGACCACGGGCACGAGCAGCACCUCACCCCGACCGACGAGUCCACCUGGAUGUCGCUCAUGCCGCGGCGAGCGCUGCGGCGCGAGGAGGCGUUCGACUGGCUCAUGCUCUACCGCAAGCUCCGGGGAGCCACCGCCGGCGGCGCGCCGCGCCGGCCCGGGGUUGCGGCGGGGACGUUCCUCUCCGAUGCGUCCCUGCACGACGUGCGGCUGGAGCCGGGCAGCCUGUACUGGCGAGCCCAGCAGACCAACCUGGAGUACCUGCUCCUCCUGGACGUCGACCGCCUCGUCUGGAGCUUCCGCAAGCAGGCCGGCCUGACGGCGCCGGGGACUCCCUAUGGCGGGUGGGAGGGCCCUGACGUCGAGCUCCGGGGACACUUUGUUGGUACGCUGCCGGAUCUCAGUUUGGCUUCAAUUUUGGAGCAUUUGUCCAGAACAGCUGCGCAGCUAGACUGAAUGUCAGUGUCUUGCUGUUGUUCUUCUCAGGGCAUUACCUGAGUGCUACUGCAAAGAUGUGGGCUAGCACACACAAUGAUACUCUGAAUGCAAAAAUGUCAUCGGUCAUCGACGCGCUCUCCGAUUGCCAGAAGAAGAUGGGCACAGGGUACCUGUCGGCCUUCCCGACGGAGUUCUUCGAUAGGGUUGAGGCCAUCAAGCCUGUCUGGGCUCCUUACUACACAAUCCACAAGGUGAAAACUUGUCAAAGGCUGUUUCCGUUUCGACUUCUUGAUUAAUAUGUAAAUGUUGUCACCGGUUGAGUGAGUCUAAUUUCUGGUUUGCAGAUUAUGCAAGGCCUUCUUGAUCAGUACACAGUGGCUGGGAAUUCCAAGGCUCUUGACAUGGUGGUAAACAUGGCUAAUUAUUUCAGUGACCGUGUGAAGAAUGUCAUACAGAAAUAUAGCAUUGAGAGGCACUGGGAAUCUCUCAAUGAGGAGACUGGUGGGAUGAAUGAUGUGCUCUAUCAGCUCUACACGAUAACGGUGAUUUGCUAUUUGUUACAAACUUAGAAUUGUAGCAUAGGUUAAUACAGUUAUGUCUAGCUCAUACUCUUCCUUUCUAUUAAUUGGCCAGAAUGAUCUGAAGCAUUUGACACUAGCUCAUCUCUUCGAUAAGCCAUGCUUUCUUGGGCUGCUUGCAGUUCAGGUAUGCUGAACACUGAUCUGGUUUCCUAAUUGUGAAUCUUCAGCUAUUUGGUGAUAGAUAUGGAUUAUUUAUGUCUAAUUUACAAUAAAUGUCUAAAAUAGAACUUAACCAGUUUUCAUCUUUAACUAUGUUAAGACCUGUGAUUGCUAACUUCAAUCUAAUCCUUUUAUCACCUGGUGACCACUACAGUACUACAUGUACAUCAAGCACAUUUUUAAUUAUGCCACCACCCAGCUGCUAUUAUCAUGGAAACUGAACCUGGGUUCCUAGUACUGGGCUUUAUUUUUUAUAUUUUUUGAACGCAAUAGUACUGGGCUUUAUCAAUGGAUUAAAACUACUGUUCCUCUUGAAGGAUUUUCAUUUGACUGAACAGCCUUUGUGUGUGUAUGUGUUUCAUUUCAGGCUGACAGUAUUUCCGGCUUCCAUUCCAACACACACAUUCCAGUUGUCAUCGGUGCGCAAAUGAGGUAUGAAGUUACUGGAGAUCCUCUUUACAAGGUAAAAUUCAAUUAUAUCUUAUUACUAGAGUUUGAGUAUUCCAUUUUCACAGACAGUUAAUGUUCUUAUCAGUUUUGAUUAUGAUGCCAGUCACUUUUCAUAAGGGGGAACAGGUGGACUAUUUUACUUUCUUCCCUUAGAAGUAUACUUGUUAGCUUAAGAAAAAUCAAAGAUAUGCAUCACUUGCUGCUAUUAGUAAACUUUUGCAUGUCUACGACUCUGCAUCUGAAGAAGUACCAACUUGUCUUCUUUUUCUCAUUGGGUCUGUGCCAUUUGGGUGAAGCUGACCAUAAGCCUCAUUUUGAAACAGCAAAUUGCAUCAUUCUUUAUGGAUACAAUAAAUUCUUCCCAUAGCUAUGCAACUGGUGGCACAUCUGCUGGUGAAUUCUGGUAUAGCUUCUAGGUGCCUGAUUUACUGAUGUCCAUAGUAUAUACACAACUACGUUUCAGAAAGCACUUAUGCUCUUAACUGGUUUUCAGGACCGAUCCAAAGCAUUUAGCUGGGACUCUGAGUACUGAGAAUGAGGAAUCUUGCACCACCUACAACAUGCUUAAGGUUGACAAUCAUCAAACCACCUAAUACAUAUAUGCCCUUGUUUAGAUAUGUGUCAUAUGCAGCCUAUGUGCAGAUUUCUCGCAACCUAUUCAGAUGGACAAAGGAAAUAGCAUAUGCAGAUUACUACGAAAGGGCAUUGAUAAAUGGUGUUUUGAGCAUUCAAAGGGGGACAGAUCCUGGUGUGAUGAUUUACAUGCUACCACAGGCCCCUGGACACUCUAAGGCUGUGAGUUAUCAUAGUUGGGGAACAAAGUACGAUUCAUUCUGGUGUUGUUAUGGGACAGGUAAUAUAAAAAAUCACCAACAUCUAUCUGUGCUGACUUGAUGUGAUCAUUCCACACUAAUUUCCGUGCUUGAUUUCAGCCAACUGUUCCUCUUAUUUUGAUUCCAUAAGCUGAAGGCAGUGUCUAGCCCCUUCAUUUUUACCUCUUUGCUUUGCGUCUGUAAAAAUUGGGGUUGCAAUUAUUUUUGAGCUUAUUGUUUGUUUCAAAAUAUUAUGAUUCCCAUCUGCAGGUAUAGAAUCCUUUUCAAAACUUGGUGAUUCUAUUUACUUUGAGGAGAAAGAAGAUUUGCCUGCACUCAAUAUCAUUCAGUACAUACCAAGUACAUACGACUGGAAAGCAGCAGGGCUUAUUGUUACUCAGAAAGUCAACACCCUCAGCUCUUCUGACCAGUAUCUUCAAAUUUCACUCUCCAUUUCUGCAAAGGUAAUUAUUUUCAAUUCUUUAUACGUUAAAUUCAGAAAAAAUAUCUGCAGUCACUACAUUUGUUUUCUAUUUGUUCAGACAAAAGGUCAGACUGCCAAAUUGAAUGUUAGAAUUCCAUCAUGGACAUUUGCUGACGGUGCAGGAGCAACUUUAAAUGACAAAGAUUUGGGGUCGAUAUCUCCAGGUAAAAUCAUUAUGUUGUGUCUAACAUUCAAAUUACAUUUGAUCUUCUAAGGCCACCUCAUUACCUGAUCUUAUUAUGUGGGCAGGAUCUUUCCUAUCAAUCACCAAGCAGUGGAACUCAGAUGAUCACUUAGCACUACGCUUUCCCAUCAGGUUGAGGACUGAAGCAAUUAAAGGUAACUCAUGAAGUUUCACCCAAUCCAAGAUUGAAGGAUGAAUUGGUUAACUUAUCUCAUAUAUUAUAUUUCAUCAUGAUAACCAGUGGUUGUAAUAAAAUACAUAUAGGACGCUAGUAGAAGUAACAGAUUUUGCUCCCAUGUGUGCUAAUAUUGAGAUUUUUGUAUACCGAGAAUCUUGAACUGAAUAUUAACUGCUAGCUAUCCCUUCAGAUGACAGACCGGAGUAUGCAUCUCUUCAAGCAGUCCUGUUUGGACCAUUUGUUCUUGCUGGCCUAUCCACCGGUGACUGGGAUGCAAAAGCUGGCAAUGGCAGUGCAAUUUCAGAUUGGAUCACCGCUGUCCCUCCAGCGCACAACUCACAGCUGGUAACCUUCAGUCAAGUAUCAAAUGGGAAAACAUUUGUCCUCUCAAGCGCAAAUGGGACCCUGACAAUGCAAGAGCGACCUGAAGUUGAUGGCACUGACACUGCCAUCCAUGCAACAUUCAGGGCACAUCCUCAGGACUCAACAGAGCUGCAUGACAUCUACCGAACAAUUGCAAAGGGAGCAUCGAUUCUGAUCGAACCAUUUGACUUGCCAGGAACAGUGAUCACCAAUAACCUCACUCUAUCUGCACAGAAGAGCACAGAUUGCCUCUUCAACCUAGUGCCCGGGCUUGAUGGGAAUCCUAACUCAGUUUCCCUUGAGCUUGGGACCAGACCAGGAUGCUUCCUGGUGACAGGCACGAAUUAUUCUGCGGGGACGAAGAUUCAAGUCAGCUGCAAGAGUUCCCUUGAGAGCAUUGGUGGGAUACUCGAGCAAGCGGCGAGCUUUUCACAAACUGAUCCAUUAAGGCAGUACCACCCAAUCAGCUUCGUUGCUAAGGGGAUGACCAGGAACUUCCUCCUUGAGCCAUUGUACAGUUUGAGGGACGAAUUCUACACGGUUUAUUUCAACAUCGGGGCCUGAGUCCUGAAACUUACACUUGCAGUAGAAAUAAUACAGAAUAAAUAAUGGGCGACCUUUUUCUUCUCAUACACUGUAGCUUAGAACAGCCAAUGAAAGAGUAAAUGAGUUGUUUCAUGUGUAUUCCUCGCAUAUAUUCACUUAUGUGAAAUCACUUAUUAUGCAAUACCAAGCAAUUCAUACCCCGCUUCUUCUACCAUUUGAGUAAGGAAGUUAUUUGUGAUAACGUGGAAAUUUUGUUUUUAGUAAGAGUUAUUUUUGCUGAUGACUACGCCAUUGAUGAGUAACUGAAGGUGCUUUGGUUCACAUUCAGUAUUUUAACUCUUGGUUACUGAAGGUGCUGCUAAAAUGUUUCAUCCUGCAGUGCUCCAUUGUCUAUCCUGAAUCCUGGCUGCUAUCUGACUAGUGGCAGGGUAAAAAAAAAUGCCAUUUCUGUGUCUGAUUUGCAUCUAGAUAACCCCUGGUUCACUGGUUGAGACCGAGCAUUGCAACUGUUUUCGUCAGGCAGUUCUAUAGUAUACUGAACGGAGCAGUUAACAACAGCUAGGUCCAUAAAAUACGUCUACAGCUACAGAGACGGGAGGACGACAAAGCUGAGAUCCUAUCCAUUCUCCCAUAAACAACGAAGGAAUCUCACGGCGAUCAGACUUCUCUAUCAUUGCUUGCAUUCUUUAUAUCAUCGCAGCUGAACACCCGGCAGAAGAGUUGCUCAAUGUUCCCAUCAUGUCUAAAGAGACCCACCCACAAAUUGAGGGAGGAAAAUAUUUCAUACCCAGCACAAGAAUAUUAUUUCGUACAAAUCAUUAUCUUCUUUGCAAGUGACAAUCAUACAAAAAUCAAGCUGUUUAGACUAGUUCCAAUUCUUUGCAGGUGACAAUCAUACAAAACAAAUUACGCGUGUUCCAAUCACAUGUGGAAAGGCCAGUUGCAUGUUCCCAUUGUACACGCUAGGAGAUUGCAGAAUAUGAAAUGUCCCUUUGCAGCCUUGCUUGAGAAUUCAAGUCGCCUAGAGUGUGAACAUUCACCAUGAAAUUGCGCUUGUGUAGACUGUAUGGAAUGCAGAUUCAGUAUACCCAACGACCAAGAUGCAUCGUCCUGAUACAAAAUCACAACUAUGGAACAAACAUGAUUUUGAAGUGCAUUGUUUAUCAACAAGAAUCCUAGUUCAUUGCACCCUUGAAUCUACAUCCGCUGAAGCAGCUGAAUAAAUGCUAGCAGGUUGCAUCCUCAAAGAACAAAUAGCAAGAUCAGUUGAUUGGUCAAAAGCUUCACAUAUGGCCAAUUACUUGAACAUAAACAUUAAGUGUAUAGUACAGCACUGGCCAGGUAACCACCAUGACCCCCUUUCGGCUUCUGGUCCUCUGAAUGAAAUAACAAGAGCACAACAAUUGAAUGCAAAGCAGUUGACUGAAUGUGAAGUC